AAUAUAGUACAUCCAUAGAUGAAAAGAUCAAACAAUGCUGUGUCUACAUUAUCUGUAAAUGUUUUUCACUAAGAUUAAUUCAUCAUUAGAUUAAAGUAAACUUAGGGUAAGUAUACAAGUAUUGCAAUGUAUUGUGCAAUACACCCAUAAACAUAAUGAAUAAAUAUAGAACAUGAUUACAUCAGAUAUAUACAUAUAUUGUAUAAUUCUCUUAUUAGAAACGUACACAUUUAGACAUGUACUCACUCAGCUACAAUUGUUUUUCAGAUCUAGAAAUAGAGUUAAGUCAUCUUUCAAUGACAUCUUGUAACAUGCCAUGACAUACAAUGUAGUAUAUAUAGUUUAUACACAUGUACAACAAACUCAGGACUAUAAAUGAUACAUUCAUUCUAAGGAAAUCCAUAUUGAGUGAUUACGUUUAUUACCGUGCUAAAGGAAAUACAGAUAGGUAACAUCCGAGCUUCAAGAGAGUGAAGACUCUCAAACCGAGAGUCAGCUCUCUCUCUCUCUCUCUCUCUCUCUCUCUCUCUCUGACAACAGAAGUCUAUCUUGUAUUUGUGCUAUUACCCUAUCUUUUUUUUCUCUUUCAAAUUGCUUACAAAAAUAUCUGUUAUAUAAACACGUACAGUGCAUGUUGUGCAAUAUAUACACGUGCGAUUGUUUGUAGGAAGCAGCCUAAUGUGAAUGGCAUAAUAACACUCACAGUUUCCUAAUUUGAAAUUAAACAAAUUUAUGGGUCAUACUUCAUAAUUUCAUGAGUUUUUCUAAAUCGUUAAACAUGCAUUUACUUGUGGUUUCAUUAUCAGAUCGUCAAAUGACCUAGAUAUGCAUUAUACGUUUGAUUUUGAAUCGUAGAAAUAUGCAUACGUGGAUUGCUUGCACUCUUUUUGAUUUCUCUUAGGAUUUGAAUAUUGUUUAAACAUGAUGUAACUGUACUUCUUUGAUUUGAAUAUGUUAUAACAAUAUCUAUCAUUAUUCUACAUAAUUACUAAAUUAGGUGAAUACGAUAUUCUGGAGAUUGACGUUAGAGAAAUACUAAAUCAAAAAAAUUCUAAAUCGUACAUUCAUUACAGCUUCGAUAUAUGUGCACUAUUAUUCCGCUUCUCAGACACAUUAACUCUCUAGCUUACGUGGAAUGUAUUUAUAGAUAUAGAUGAUUAUUUGAGGUCACCUACCAUAUAUUUUUAGAUAGGUUUCCAAAUUUCAGUAACAUUAAUGACAUUUUUAGAUUUCAAAUAUCAUGAUGAUGAACUUUCUAUUCCAUCCGAUUAAUUUUGAUAUUUUCUUUACUAGCCUCACCAUUUUGCAAUCCCACAGUGUGAUAGGAAAUCAAUAAUUACGCAAUCAAAAUAUCAAUUUCUUUACAAUUUUUCUAGACAUAUAUCUGUUUUCAUCGUCAAUAGAAAUUAUCUAUGAUGUGAUUGUUUCUAAAACCAAGUAAUAUUUCAUUGACCAGUGGAAUGAUUCACAUUUCAACAGAAACUGAAGAAUUGUAUAUGUAGGGCGCCAUUUGCUCCAAAUAAUUCUUUAAAGUACAGUGCAUUUGAAAUCUGAUCUCGUAUAUCAAUAUAACUAUUGAGACGUCACGUCGUUGUGUCUUUAAUUUUAAAUCUUAGUCACCGGCCUUUAAUUUUUGUGUCAUUCUCGCCGUCACUGUUUAAAAUUUUCAAUUCUGAAGUUUCUCUAAAAUUUUAGUUGAGUAUUCACAUGAAUUGCAUUUUCUAUCCUAGUCUUUCUAUUAAUGUUUUAAUAGAAUUUUAAUCAAAUGUCUUCUCGGUAUGUAUAUAUACAUUUCAAGUGAGCGUCUGUACAAAAAAAUGGACCGCAAUGAAGAGUCGAAGAUCAAUCUCAUGUUUUCAGUUGCGCCAUAAUCAUUGUUUUGAUACUUGAUUACAAUCUGUAUUAUCAAUAUCAAGAAUGAACGGGAACUGUAAUGUGAAGUUUGAUCGCAACAGACAAUUCUCUGUAUUAGACAAGUACGUGCUGUUCAUUACAAUUUCCCUUGUACUGAUGAUAUUCCUAAGCGAAUGCUGUAAUGGAAAUCAGAUCGAAAGACGAAGACGGGGACAACAGAGGAUGCCAUGCCUUGCCUCUGUUUCAACAAUAGUUCACAAAAUUUGUCCAGAUAGUACAGAAUCUAGAAAUUUGCGAGCUAAAGAAGUUGGUUGUGAACUUAUGGCGAACAGUUGUGCAGAUUCUGUCGAUUAUGUCUAUCAUUGCCUAUUAAAUGAAUGGGGUAACAAUAGUUUGGAAAUAUGCGCACCAACAACGAAAAUUGUAGGCCAGUACUGUGCCGAAUUCAAUGUGGGAGGAGGAAUUGUUCAGGAGCAUCACAAAACAAACGCAUCAUGUACCCUGUGUCCUUACAUUUACAACUCUUCUGACAGCUUUCGCUAUCAUGGUUUCUGAAUACUGAAUUUACUUGAACAUUGAUCAUAAUACACUCAUCUUCCCUGUGUAAGUGGAUACAGAAUUUACGUGAAAAGAAGAAUUGACUGUAAAAGCACUCCCUGAUAUGCCAAUAUGGAGAAUGUUUUAGGGGACUUGUAUCGAACUUCACAAAGACAAUAGAAGCGAGUUUUCCAAUAAGUUCGACUACAUUCACGUCAAGGUAUGCUCCUGAUACCAAUACUGGCAAUAAGUGGUUAAUCAGUAUACCGAUUGCCAUACAUAUCCUCCUGGGAUAUUUGUGUUUGUUCUUUGGAGAAGGAAAUGUAUAGGACAAGAUCUUUACAAAACAGCUAUGAAAACAAUGGUUAAAAGAAACGACUUCAUGUAUAUCAGAUGACAAAUAUGGAUAUGCUCGUUAGUAGGAGACAAAGAAACAGUGAAAAGUGCAAAUGCAGAUCGAUCGCUGACCUUUUUUAUAUUCCUAUUCAGCAAAAUGUAUUCAAAAGGUUCUACAUAGGAAGCAAAGAUAUCUUUUUGUGACCUUCAUCUCCAUUACAUCGACGACGUAUUACUUAUCAUUAAUGCUCGCUUCCAUUCAUAUAUCUAAUCGAUAUACCGCAGUGAACAUGAAAAACAACACCAGGUCGUCCAUAUCCCUUCCGUUUGUGAAUAUUUUAUUGAAUGUAUACGUUAAUGGCAAACUAAAAGUUGUACCUUGUGGCAAAAGGAAUGAUUUCAGCUUUCACAUCGUCAACAUUUCAUAUUUGUAUAGCGAUAUUAUAUUAUGGUGUAUCUCAGUUGAUUUGAUACAUGAUACACCAUGCUCUAUACGUGGUCAUUCUGUGAAUCUUUUCCAGUUCUCUUCUACAUAAGCUGAUGUUAAAGGCUUUUCAACAACCUUGUUUAAUGUCUUCAUUUCGCAAUCUAUAUGGUUAUUAUCAUGAUCUGACCAAGCUUUAACACAGAUGACAUAAUAUUACCGAUCAGAUAAAUGAAGACAAUCACAUCUUCAUUUGGGAAAUGUAUAUGUGCGUGGUCGGGGGACGGAUGCAAACUAUAUUCUUUAUAGUUAAGAGUAGGAUGACAUUGCCCCGGGCUUUCCUGUCAUAAAUUGUAACGUAUUUUUCGCAUUUUGUUUUUAUAACUGUGACAUUUUAGCGUCAGUGAAAUCUUUUCUGUCUCAAAAUUUGGAAUAGUGAGAUGGAUUAUAUUAUAGUCAUUAUCCUCAUUUCGAUAAACAAAUUUAAUAAUUGAUAUAGCAAGCAGCUGUAAUUGGUAAUGAAUUACUUAUGAACAGGUGGAAAUAACAGUAAUCAAUCUCUUAAACAAACAUGGAUUCCUGAAUUUACAUGUGUUAUAGGUGGGGUCAGGUACCCAAAGACAAGUAAGCAUCCCCUAUUGCCCGGUCAUACCCAAUGCGAGCCCUAUAUCUUUAUCAGGUGAACAUAAUAUUCCGUGUGUAAAAACGACCCAGCAAUUGGUAUGAAACAGGUCAGACAGCAUUUGACCCAGUAACAGGUUCUAUUUGUAAAUGAGGUCGUCAUUACGACAACAGAAUUUGCAAAACGCUGCCUUUAAACGAGACUGUUGAAAUCCCAGUAACAUCAACAUUUCUGUCACUAGACUGUCUCAAUUUGAAAACAAAUGAUCGUACGCAGAACAUGUUCUUCCACAUCAACACAAUUGAGGGACAUGAGUGCUAUAUGCAUGUGAUAAUUGGAAUGUUGCUACAUAAAUUUUGGAUAGUUGAUGAUGGAUAAGCUGGAUUCAUCCCAUUUAUCAUAAUGUAAAAUAUCUACGAUAUACAGUAUAUUUUUUUCAUCCAUAAAAUGUCUCUAAUAUCCCUUAAGUUAAAUGUUAUUUAUCUACACAUCCGCAAACUAUUGAAAGGCUGCAAUGUACCUAUUGCAUUGAUGUAACAUUAUAUUUAAUGAAAUUAUAAAGUUUAAUCAACAUGCAAUUUCAAUAAUACUAUAAUAGACUGUACGCAUCGUGGUAUGUCUUUUUUUUCUAUCAAUAACUUCAUUAAUAAGAACUUUACCGGAGAUAAUACUGACGUGUAUAUUUUGUUGGAUCCUGCAGAUUUCAGUCAGUGUCAUACUAGAAUUUCACACAGUUACGUUGAGUUUUGAAACAGAAAUAAUUAAAACGAACCCUCGAAUGAAGGCCUAAUGGAUCCCGGUCAGAAUAGAUGCUCAGUACCCCUUGUUUGCCGUUAGAGGCGACUAAAUUGGGCUGUCCUUCGGAUGAGACCAUAAAAACCAAGGCCGCGUGUUCGAACAGGUGUGGCACGAUGAUGAUCCUUUCCUGCUCAAGGGCCGUAAGCGCCGAGCAUAGGCCUACAUUUUGGAGACCUUCACUGCCAAUGGUGACGUCUUCAUAUAAAUUAAAAACUCUAGAGCAGGAUGUUAAACAAUAUUCAAUCAAUCAAUUAAUCGUUUGGAGGCAAAAUGUUCAUUAAAUCGUUCUGAAUUUGACAAUUGUCAUUUUCACAUUACAAAAUAAAUAAAUGCAAUCAGUAAAAACUUGUUCUGAUGUGUUUACAAGGAAUGUACAGUUUAUCAAUUCUACAACACUGUAUCGAGACAAUGAGACCGAAAAGAAUUGGAGAUAAGGGAAAGCAGACAAGACAGCUAAAUGUAACAAUGACAUUGUCCUCUCAUACCACGGAAAAGGGGCCUUUCUGGAUUCAGCUUCACAGUGCCCCCUCCCCCGGAGGUCAUCACUGCUCCAUCCGCCCCAGUCCAGCUGGUAAUCGUCUUUGAUGUGUGCACGAAUUCCCUGCAAGGUCAAUUUAGUCAAGCUGAUGGCGAUAUAAUAACUCGUAUAGCCGAUGCAGAGCUAAGUAUUCACGAGUUAGUAUUCUAAGAAACAACUAUAUUUACCCACAGGAUCACAUACCAGUUCACACUAGUGCAUUGCCUCAUUACUUCAAGGUUUUACUGUCGAUUAAUUGGAUCAAUGGGGGUCAGCAAUGCUACACUCUAUUUUACACUUCAAUGUUAGUACCUCACCCCUUAAGUAAAGAGCUUUUACUCCAGUGUAUCUUGGGACUUUCAAAACUAUAACCUGUGCUAGUCUUUAUGUCUUACCAGUAGGCUUAGUUCCUAAAACUGACAGGGAUAUAUGGGAACAAACUCGUAUCUUGUUCGAAAGUCGCCGAGAAGCUUUCGCCGUUUACCUGAUCGAGAAAUAAGGCUCACAGCGGGUGUAUCCAGGGUCCGUGUUUGCCCAACUAUUUAUUUUGCAUUCCUUAUAGGAGUUAUGCGAUUGAUCACUGUUCGUUAUAUUCACCUUUCAUAGAGACAAAAAGGCCAAUUUUGGCCAAAAUUGUAAUAAAAAUGUUGUUACUUAGCAACCAUUAAUAAUUAUUUAUCACUGCAAUUAGAUAAAUUUCAUUUACCGGUAGCACUAGCAUUUUAGUAGGAAAGUCAGGACAUACAAUAUUUGUUUCUAUGGACUAAAACGUUUUUGAUGAGCAUUUUGUCUACUUUGUCGGACUGUGUUACAUAUAAAAAAAGAAAAUCACCAAAACCCUAAAAGUGAUCAUAGAAAUGUACACUAACUAUACUCCAUUGUAUAAAGCAAUAUAAUAACACGAAGCAGAUCGUACCAAAACAA
Ostrea edulis (European flat oyster) is the source of this 6012-nucleotide RNA transcript. RefSeq lists it as uncharacterized. The transcript is spliced from 7 exons. NCBI's taxonomy places the organism in Eukaryota, Metazoa, Mollusca, Bivalvia, Ostreida, Ostreidae. The record is from RefSeq and is a predicted model, not a curated record.